CCCGGCUGUAAAAUCUCCAAUAAGCUCGAAUUAAUCAGGGUGUAAAAUUAAUUUUAAAACAUCCCCAGUCACCCGGACCGACCUCCCGCAGCUGGAGACGGGGCUGUCGAUAUUUUAUUCUAUUUAAGGUGGCAGUGCCUGGGCUUGCCUCACACGUUCAUCAGGGGGUCAGUGACGCAGCCCAGCUACAGUGCAGAGGGCAGAGACGUGGAGCUGGCUGGGACUGACAGGAAAGCCAUCCAGCAGCUGUACGGAGUUGAGAAAAGAAGACUGCAGCUGCUGGAAAUCUGAACUAAAGAAGAAAAGUGGACUCACCCAGCAUCCAGGCAGAGCGAAUAUUUCAGGUCAAAGAGUCUUUCCCACCUUCCUGCUGAUGAAGGGGCUUGAACUUGAAAUGUCCUUUGUCUCUUUGAGCAUUUCCAGCAUUUUGGAUUUCCAUCUCACUUAUCUCCAGCUCUGUGGGUGACAUGAAACAAAUGUGAGAUUAUGAACACAAGGGAUUCUGAGCAACACACACAAAAUGCUGGAGAAACUCAGCAAGUCAGGCAGCAUCUACGGAGAGGGAUAAACAGUUGACAUUUCUGACCAAGACCGGAAAGAAAGGGGGCAGAAGCCAGAAGAAAAAGCUGAGAGGAAAGAGUAAAAGCUUGCAGGUGAUAGGUGA
Hypanus sabinus (Atlantic stingray) is the source of this 664-nucleotide long non-coding RNA. RefSeq lists it as uncharacterized. The transcript is spliced from 3 exons. The record is from RefSeq and is a predicted model, not a curated record. Lineage: Eukaryota; Metazoa; Chordata; Chondrichthyes; Myliobatiformes; Dasyatidae.